CCAAAGGCUCUUUUCAGAGCCACCCACAGUGUCUAGAAAAGAGCCG
Molecule: non-coding RNA, 46 nt
Organism: Bos taurus (domestic cattle)
Lineage: Eukaryota; Metazoa; Chordata; Mammalia; Artiodactyla; Bovidae
Source: Rfam